AUUGAACGCUGGCGGCAGGCUUAACACAUGCAAGUCGAGCGGAGCGAAGGUGCUUGCACCAAGACUUAGCGGCGGACGGGUGAGUAAUGCUUAGGAAUUUGCCUAUUAGUGGGGGACAACGUUUCGAAAGGAACGCUAAUACCGCAUACGUCCUACGGGAGAAAGCAGGGGAUCUUUGGACCUUGCGCUAAUAGAUGAGCCUAAGUCGGAUUAGCUAGUUGGUGGGGUAAAGGCCUACCAAGGCGACGAUCUGUAGCGGGUUUGAGAGGAUGAUUCGCCACACUGGGAAUGAGACACGGCCCAGACUCCUACGGGAGGCAGCAGUGGGGAAUAUUGGACAAUGGGCGGAAGCCUGAUCCAGCCAUGCCGCGUGUGUGAAGAAGGCCUUCGGGUUGUAAAGCACUUUCAGUCAGGAGGAAGGGGUGAUGGGUAAUAUCCAUCAUCAUUGACGUU
This 453-nucleotide ribosomal RNA is filed under the name uncultured bacterium. Its description in RNAcentral is "bacterial SSU rRNA". It matches the Rfam family "Bacterial small subunit ribosomal RNA", at positions 30 to 476 of the family's 1533-position model. The record is from RNAcentral.